AUGCAGGGUAGCAAAGCAAUCCAGCUAGGCUAUAUCUCCAUAUUCCUCUUUCGCUCCCUCCGCCGCCGUGCUAAGCCGGCCAAACAGCUGGAAGGCAGGUGGCUUGCUUUAUGGAAAUGAUGGGUGGACUCAUAAGAUGAUUCAUGAAGAAGUAAGUAACUUGAGGAACUUCCAUUGCCAAUGCUGUGCUUGAAGAGAGCCUAAUUAAAGCUGAGGUAUGGGAGUGAAGGUUAAAAGAAAAAUAGAAAUCAUUGAAAGUUGCUGCUGCUCUUAUGGUGUUGAGUAUCAUAUUUUUAUACAUCUAUUAUUGUCCUCUCUUUCAAAAGAGAUAACCUUCAUCAAAGUUUGUACACUUUGCUUC
Molecule: long non-coding RNA, 361 nt
Organism: Cucurbita moschata (crookneck pumpkin)
Lineage: Eukaryota; Viridiplantae; Streptophyta; Magnoliopsida; Cucurbitales; Cucurbitaceae
Exons: 2
Source: RefSeq, a predicted model, not a curated record